This 393-nucleotide ribosomal RNA is filed under the name uncultured bacterium. Its description in RNAcentral is "bacterial SSU rRNA". It matches the Rfam family "Bacterial small subunit ribosomal RNA", at positions 28 to 424 of the family's 1533-position model. The record is from RNAcentral.
GACGAACGCUGGCGGCGUGCUUAACACAUGCAAGUCGAGCGGUAAGGCCCUUUCGGGGGUACACGAGCGGCGAACGGGUGAGUAACACGUGGGUGACCUGCCCUCAGCUCUGGGAUAAGCCUGGGAAACCGGGUCUAAUACUGGAUAUGACUCCAUGACGCAUGUUGUGGGGUGGAAAGCCUUGUGCGGCUGAGGAUGGGCCCGCGGCCUAUCAGCUUGUUGGUGGGGUGANGGCCUACCAAGGCGACGACGGGUANCCGGCCUGAGAGGGCGACCGGCCACACUGGGACUGAGACACGGCCCAGACUCCUACGGGAGGCAGCAGUGGGGAAUCUUGCGCAAUGGGCGAAAGCCUGACGCAGCGACGCCGCGUGAGGGAUGACGGCCUCGGUU